Molecule: ribosomal RNA, 1361 nt
Filed under: metagenome
Description: SSU rRNA
Rfam family: Eukaryotic small subunit ribosomal RNA
Source: RNAcentral
UCUGGUUGAUCCUGCCAGUAGUCAUAUGCUUGUCUCAAAGAUUAAGCCAUGCAUGUCUAAGUAUAAAUAGUAUACAGUGAAACUGCGAAUGGCUCAUUAAAACAGUUAUAGUUUAUUUGAUAAUUGACAAUUACAUGGAUAACCGUGGUAAUUCUAGAGCUAAUACAUGCUUAAACGCCCGACUUUAUGGAAGGGUGGUAUUUAUUAGACUGAAGCCAAUAUUCCUUGUGUCUAUUGCGGUGAUUCAUAAUAACUGAUCGAAUCUCUUUUUGAGAUAAAUCAUUCAAGUUUCUGCCCUAUCAGCUUUCGAUGGUAGUGUAUUGGACUACCAUGGCAGUAACGGGUAACGAAGAAUUAGGGUUCGAUUUCGGAGAGGGAGCAUGAGAAACGGCUACCACAUCUAAGGAAGGCAGCAGGCGCGUAAAUUACCCAAUCCUGACUCAGGGAGGUAGUGACAAGAAAUAGCAAACCGGGAACCUCAUGGUUUCACGGUAUUGCAAUGAGAACAAUUUAAAACCCUUAGCGAGAAUCAAGUGGAGGACAAGUCUGGUGCCAGCACCCGCGGUAAUUCCAGCUCCACUAGCGUAUAUUAAAGUUGUUGCAGUUAAAAAGCUCGUAGUUGAACCUCUGUCUGGGGCUAGUUUUGGCUUUGGUCAGGCUAGUUCUAGGCAUCCGCCUACAAGACUUAGAGGGCAUUCAGUUGUUCACUAGGAGGAGUAGGCAUUUUACUUUGAAAAAAUUAGAGUGUUUAAGGCAGGCAAUCGCCCGCAUAUAUUAGCAUGGAAUAAUAGAAUAGGACACUUUUCCAUUUCGUUGGUUAUUGGAAUCGUGUAAUGAUUAAUAGGGACAGUUGUGGGCAUUUGUAUUUAAUUGUCAGAGGUGAAAUUCUUGGAUUUAUUAAAGACAAACUAACGCGAAAGCAUUUGCCAAGGAUGUUUUCAUUAAUCAAGAACGAAAGUUAGGGGAUCAAAGACGAUCAGAUACCGUCCUAGUCUUAACUAUAAACUAUUCCGACUCAAUGUUUGACUGGCUUAUAUAACCAGUUGAGCGUUGUAUGAGAAAUCAAAGUCUUUAGGUUCUGGGGGGAGUAUGGUUGCAAAGCUGAAACUUAAAGGAAUUGACGGAAGAGCACAACCAGGAGUGGAUUCUGCGGCUUAAUUUGACUCAACACGGGGAAACUUACCAGGUUAAAACAAUAGUGGGAUUGACAGUUUGAGAGCGCUUUCUUGAUUGGUUGGGUGGUGGUGCAUGGCCGUUCUUAGUUGGUGGAGUGAUUUGUCUGCUUAAUUGCGUUAACGAACGAGACCUUAACCUGCUUACUAGACUGGCGAUCAUCAAUCGUUAGCUCUUCUUAGAGGGAC